UUAACACAUGCAAGUCGAACGGAUUUUUGUCGUAGCUUGCUAUGAUAAAAAUUAGUGGCAGACGGGUGAGUAAUGCAUAGGAAUCUACCUAGUAGUAUGGGAUAGCCACUAGAAAUGGUGGGUAAUACUGUAUAAUCCCUGCGGGGGAAAGAUUUAUCGCUAUUAGAUGAGCCUAUGUUAGAUUAGCUAGUUGGUAGGGUAAAGGCCUACCAAGGCGUGAUCUAUAGCUGGUCUGAGAGGAUGAUCAGCCACACUGGAACUGAGAUACGGUCCAGACUCCUACGGGAGGCAGCAGUGGGGAAUAUUGGACAAUGGGCGCAAGCCUGAUCCAGCUAUGCCGCGUGAGUGAGGAAGGCCUUAGGGUUGUAAAACUCUUUCAGUGGGGAAGAUAAUGACGGUACCCACAGAAGAAGUCCCGGCAAACUCCGUGCCAGCAGCCGCGGUAAUACGGAGGGGGCAAGCGUUGUUCGGAAUUAUUGGG
This 481-nucleotide ribosomal RNA is filed under the name uncultured Anaplasma sp. RNAcentral's name for it is "bacterial SSU rRNA". It matches the Rfam family "Bacterial small subunit ribosomal RNA", at positions 48 to 558 of the family's 1533-position model. Lineage: Bacteria; Pseudomonadati; Pseudomonadota; Alphaproteobacteria; Rickettsiales; Anaplasmataceae. The record is from RNAcentral.